This 73-nucleotide transfer RNA is filed under the name Candidatus Hydrogenedentota bacterium. Its description in RNAcentral is "Candidatus Hydrogenedentes bacterium tRNA-Trp". It matches the Rfam family "tRNA". Rfam says of the family: Transfer RNA (tRNA) molecules are approximately 80 nucleotides in length. Their secondary structure includes four short double-helical elements and three loops (D, anti-codon, and T loops). The record is from RNAcentral. Lineage: Bacteria; Pseudomonadati; Candidatus Hydrogenedentota.
AGGGCUGUAGCUCAAUUGGUAGAGCACCGGUCUCCAAAACCGGGGGCUGCGAGUUCGAGUCUCGCCGGCCCUG